CUCAGGGAGGUAGUGACAAGAAAUAACAACACUGGAAAUUUUAUUUCUAGUGAUUGGAAUGAUGGGAAUUUAAACCCCUUUCAGAGUAACAAUUGGAGGGCAAGUCUGGUGCCAGCAGCCGCGGUAAUUCCAGCUCCAAUAGCGUAUAUUAAAGUUGUUGCAGUUAAAAAGCUCGUAGUUGGAUGUCUGCUGGAAGCAAUCAGUCCGCCCUAUUUGUAGGGUGUGCACUUGAUGAAUUCUGGCAUUUUUGUCCCAAUGAUGUAACGGGGCGGUGCUAUUGGGCGAAAGUUCAAUAGCCUGUUUUCCGAUUAUUGGGAUACUGUUACUUUGAGAAAAUUAGAGUGUUUGAAGCAGGCUAAUUGCCUUGAAUACUGCAGCAUGGAAUAACAAUAUAGGAUUUCGGUUCUAUUUUGUUGGUUUCUAGGACUGAAAUAAUGAUUAAUAGGGACAGUUGGGGGCAUUUGUAUUUAACUGUCAGAGGUGAAAUUCUUAGAUUUGUUAAAGACGAACUACUGCGAAAGCAUUUGCCAAAGAUGUUUUCAUUAAUCAAGAACGAAAGUUAGGGGCUCGAAGACGAUCAGAUACCGUCGUAGUCUUAACCAUAAACUAUGCCGACUAGAGAUAGGAAAAUGUCAUUUUGCUGACUU
This 647-nucleotide ribosomal RNA is filed under the name Sarcocystis sp. Its description in RNAcentral is "SSU rRNA". It matches the Rfam family "Eukaryotic small subunit ribosomal RNA", at positions 455 to 1077 of the family's 1831-position model. The record is from RNAcentral. Lineage: Eukaryota; Apicomplexa; Conoidasida; Eucoccidiorida; Sarcocystidae.